This 1028-nucleotide long non-coding RNA is filed under the name Capra hircus (goat). Its description in RNAcentral is "lncRNA (ENSCHIG00000005345.1)". The record is from RNAcentral. Lineage: Eukaryota; Metazoa; Chordata; Mammalia; Artiodactyla; Bovidae.
CUCGCUGGCCAAGGAUUGAUCCCAUGCCCCCUGCAUUGGAAGGCGAUGUCCCAGCCACUGGACCCCCAGGGAAGCCCCUUUGGAAGGUAUUUUAAGUGGAAUGAAUUUACUGAAAAAGCCUGAGGAGGGUGGUGGAUGGAGGAGGAUUAACAGGCCAGACAGACCAGCUCUGGCCUCGCAGACGCGAGCAUGCGCGCACGUCACCUGACGCAGGCGGUCUGGGGCGGGGCCUGAGGCUGGCCCCUUCUGACCCGUGGUACCAGUGCGGCCGGUCGGGGGUCAAUUCGUGCUGCGGUGAGGAUCCCUGCCGGACACGCGGGAGAGAUGCGGAUGCCCUCCAGCUGAAGAUCCCUGGGGCACACCUGGCAUGGAACUGUAAGGUGCUGGAAACACAGACACCAGUGAGACACAGUCCCAGUCCUGAGGGGCCUCCCGGCUAUGCUGUGAAACACACAGAGGUCUCCCAUACAAUAAGCUGUGAGUCAUUCUCUGGGGGAAUCAGAGAUUUCUCAGAGGCUGUGAUACCUGAAUCUUGCCAAAGGGAUGGAAUUUGACUCUGAACCAGUGACUAGAUCUAGCCACUAAUUUGCAGGCAAUACCAAGGACAGAAGAACUUGAACUGCACUAACAGUCUGCAGUCAGCAAAGUCUAGACUAUGGGAAACUCUCCAGGUCAAAUGGGCCGGAUUCCUCAACAGACACACUGCAAGGAAAUCAAAGGGAAGGAAGCGAAUUCUAGUGAUUGGAGGGGAAAAAAAGCUUAAAAGCUUAAAAAAAUUUUUUUAAUGCACAAAGUUCAACUCCAGGUUGUAAGGAUAUAAAGACGCACAAUGAAGUGAUAAGUUAAAAGGCAAGAAAGUGAUUACUAUAAAAGUAGGGAGUAUGGUUGCUUCUGGCCGUCGGGGGGUUGUGACUGGGGGGAGGGCACACGAAGGAGUUUUCUGAGUGUCUGAGUUCUCUGACCUGGGUGGUGUUCUUCUUAUAACUCAUUAAGGCAUUCACUUGAUUUGUGUGGUUUCUAAAACUGUG